Molecule: long non-coding RNA, 525 nt
Organism: Hyalella azteca
Lineage: Eukaryota; Metazoa; Arthropoda; Malacostraca; Amphipoda; Hyalellidae
Exons: 2
Source: RefSeq, a predicted model, not a curated record
AAAAUUGCUGUGCAAUUUAAGAAGCUUCAACUUCAAACUUAAUGUAAAAAUUAGAAUUCCAAAGUUCACUCCCGAACCGUGACUCCGGCUUUUCAUAGUAUCUGGUAGUCACGCCUUGUAUUCGGCUCAGUCGCAUGGCCGGGCAGUAGAUCUUCAGACCCCAUACUAUGCAGACGCAUCCACUUGCAUCACGCAGUUAGCCUUCAGCUAAUUUUCGCAGCACAGCAGUUUUGAUCCUGGGCCCAGUGCACUUUAGUCGCUUGCUUAUGUAUCUGCUCUGCCCUUGUUCUGAGCUAUCUGUCCGCCUGCGGAGACGAGGUGCAGCCUGACGAGCAGUACGCGACUUCGCUUGCUUGAAUGUUCUUGGCGGUCGGCUUUGGGGGAGCCGCGAUUGUUAGAGACCAAAGAUCGUCGCGCUGAUAGCCUGCGAAGACGUGUAAAGUGGCGCUAAAGAGGAAGGUGCCUGGGAAGGAGUCUGGGAUUCUUCUGAGCUCUUUGUUCUAAUAAAAUUGCUUUGUACCAUGA